RNAcentral lists this ribosomal RNA (254 nucleotides) under uncultured bacterium. RNAcentral describes it as "partial 16S ribosomal RNA". It matches the Rfam family "Bacterial small subunit ribosomal RNA", at positions 524 to 776 of the family's 1533-position model. The record is from RNAcentral.
UACGGAGGGUGCAAGCGUUAUCCGGAUUCACUGGGUUUAAAGGGUGCGUAGGCGGCUUGAUAAGUCAUUGGUGAAAGCUCGCAGCUUAACUGCGAAACUGCCAUUGAAACUGUCAAGCUUGAAUGUGGUUGAAGUGGGGCGGAAUACAACAUGUAGCGGUGAAAUGCUUAGAUAUGACAUAGAACACCAAUUGCGAAGGCAGCUCGCUACACAUAUAUUGACUCUGAGGCACGAAAGCGUGGGGAUCAAACAGG